GUAGGUGGCAAGCGUUGUCCGGAAUUAUUGGGCGUAAAGCGCGCGCAGGCGGUCCUUUAAGUCUGAUGUGAAAGCCCACGGCUCAACCGUGGAGGGUCAUUGGAAACUGGGGGACUUGAGUACAGAAGAGGAAAGCGGAAUUCCAAGUGUAGCGGUGAAAUGCGUAGAGAGUUGGAGGAACACCAGUGGCGAAGGCGGCUUUCUGGUCUGUAACUGACGCUGAGGCGCGAAAGCGUGGGGAGCAAACAGGAUUAGAUACCCUGGUAGUCCACGCCGUAAACGAUGAGUGCUAAGUGUUAGGGGGGUUUCCCGCCCCCCUUAGUGCUGCAGCUAACGCAUUAAGCACUCCGCCUGGGGGAGUACGGCCGCAAGGCUG
This 376-nucleotide ribosomal RNA is filed under the name uncultured organism. RNAcentral's name for it is "partial 16S ribosomal RNA". It matches the Rfam family "Bacterial small subunit ribosomal RNA", at positions 527 to 896 of the family's 1533-position model. The record is from RNAcentral.